This 433-nucleotide ribosomal RNA is filed under the name uncultured bacterium. RNAcentral's name for it is "partial 16S ribosomal RNA". It matches the Rfam family "Bacterial small subunit ribosomal RNA", at positions 28 to 507 of the family's 1533-position model. The record is from RNAcentral.
GACGAACGCUGGCGGCAUGCCUAACACAUGCAAGUCGAACGAGACCUUCGGGUCUAGUGGCGCACGGCUGCGUACCACGUGGGAACCUGCCCUUGGGUUCGGAAUAACUCCCCGAGAGGGAUGCUAAUACCGCUUGAUGUCUUCGCACCAAAGAUUUAUGGCCGUUGGAUGGGGCCGCGUUGGAUUAGCUGGUUGGUAGGGUACAAGCCUACCAAGGGGACGAUGCAUAGCUGGUCUGAGAGGAUGAUCAGCCACACUGGGACUGAGACACGGCCCAGACUCCUACGGGAGGCAGCAGUGGGGAAUAUUGGACAAUGGGCGAAAGCCUGAUCCAGCAAUGCCGCGUGAGUGAUGAAGGCCUUAGUGUUGUAAAGCUCUUUUACCCGGGAUGAUAAUGACAGUACCGGGAGAAUAAGCUCCGGCUAACUCCGUG